CUUUUGAUGAUUUUUUAUGUUUCGGUUUUGGGGUUUAAAACAAUGCUAUCGUGUUGCUCUUCAUCCACACGGUUGUCCCUCUAUUUGCUCUUCCACUUUUGUUUUGGAAGGGGCUAAGAGCUUAAGGAAUAUUGAUGAUGGAAGUAUCGAGGAACAUAGAGGUAAUGACGAAAAGGCUGGGGAGCAAGACAUUACUGCAGAGGGAGAGGCAGACACUUAAGACCUUCCCUAACUAGAACGGUUAUGUUUAUGGAUAAUAGGU
This is a long non-coding RNA of Juglans microcarpa x Juglans regia, 262 nucleotides long. RefSeq lists it as uncharacterized. The transcript is spliced from 3 exons. The record is from RefSeq and is a predicted model, not a curated record. NCBI's taxonomy places the organism in Eukaryota, Viridiplantae, Streptophyta, Magnoliopsida, Fagales, Juglandaceae.